GGCAGGAGAAUAGCUUUAACCCGGGAGGUGGAGGUUACAGUGAGCUGAGAUCACGCCACUGCACUCCGGCCUGGGCAACAGCAAGGCUCCGUCUCCAAACACACACACAACACAACACCCAAAAUGGAACAGAUGCAGUUCUGUGUUCCAGCGGGAUAAAUUUGUGAUGCCUGUUCAAAACUCAAGAAGCCACCACCCUGAUGCUCAUCAAACCCUGGAGAAAUUCCGUUUUUAGAGUGUCAGAAGCCCUCAUGAAUAACCUUCCAGUCACUGAAGGAGGUCCUCACUCAGCAAGCCCCGGUCUCCUUUACUCUCCUGCACUCGUGCCUCGCAGAUGGCCUCAUGCGCGGACUGGCGGUCCAGCCUCCCGGGGACAGGGCCUGGGCGCACCCCGCGCCGCCGUUGGCCACUGAGGCCCGGGUCCUCGAGGCGCCGGGCUAGGCAGAGCCUCCCGGGGCAGCGCCAGGGGAUCUGGGCGGGGUGCCUGCGCCGGAAGGGCCUCAAAGCUGCAGGGCUGGACGGCGCUAGGGGGCGCAAGGCACGGAGCCCAGGCGGAGGGGACAGCUAGCGGCUCACCGGGAUGGGCGGGCCCCGGCUCCCAGCUCCAAAUACGCGGCCUCUGUGGGAGCUUGUCUCCAGGCGCCCAUCAGUCUUCCCUUCACUCGGCGCUACCUUGGCGGCCGCGCCCAUGCUGUCCCCGCCCCAACUAGUAGUCAUGAUGAGGGGUCGCGGGCCUCGCUGGAGAUGCUCACUGCGAGGACUUCCCGCCUGCGGGCUCUCUGCGCGCCGUCACUGACUGCCAGUCUGCGGGCGGCCGGCCUCACCACUCCAGGCUUCACGGGGCUGGGGCGCCGCACCAUCGAGUCGAACCGAGUCCUCCUGCUUUCCUAGAAAAGCCGUGGGGAGAGAGGGGGAACACUUCUGGCCCACGUGAGCCACCGUCGUGCGUGACGUCUCAGGGGCAUCUACCCGGAGUCACGGAGCCGACAAAAGGGAAAAGGCUGGUCCCUGUCCAGGAAGAGCUCAGCCUAGUGGAGCAGGCGACAAGUUAGAGUUGCUGCCUUGCCAUGGCCGUGGCCCGUGGAGGCACUAGACCGUCACCAGGAGUCCGUCAGGAAAGACGGGCAGAUACGUGAGGCCUGAACAGGAAGGACUUGGGAGACACAAGACUGUACCGCCGAGACCCCUUUCGAGUCGGGCUCACCGGGAUUUGAUUUCCCCCUUGACAGGGAACAUCUCGUGGAAUGGCCACAGGGCAAGAGGGCGGUGCCUGCAUUCUUGGGGAACUGCAGAGAGUUCAUGGGUAAAUAAUAGGAAGGAAAAGUGCUGGCAAUGCUCUGUCCUCAGAACAGUGAUGGAGAGAUGUGGACUCAUUGGAGAACCACGUGGGAGGCACAAGUAGCAUGGGGAACUCUGGAAACAAAGCAGUGUGGGGAGAAGGAUGCUGGUUUCUGACUUCAGCAACUAAGAAGAUAGUAGACCACAAGACAUUUGGGACUGGAGGCUUCUGAAAAGCUUCCAAGAGAUGAUGCAUGCAAAAGAGCUCUGCGUGCAGAAGAUCACCAAACAUGAGGCAUUAUUAAGGGUAAACCAACCAAGUUCUAUUUACAAUCGCCAAAUGUCUUCAAAGAAGGGCAGCUACCCGACGAGGAGAAUUCCCUACUCUCCCUGCAGAGGAUCUCCAGGUCUGCAAAGCUGGCGGGGCUAGGAAUGAAGUUUGCUGGUAGGAAGUGGGGAAUGUUAAAUUCCUCUGGGUUAUAGAGGGGGAGAAUUUGGAGUUCUGGGAGGGAAGGUGAUGAGAAGAAGGGAUGGAAGGGUGAGAAGAAGGGGAGCCAGCACGAUGGUACAAAGGUGGGAGUGAACCCAAGGGCUAGAUUAGGCCUGCAGAACUUAACCUACUUUACUUGGUUUUAGUCACUUACUUCUUGUUGAUCUUAAAACCUAUAUAGCUGCUGGGAUCAGUGGCUCACAUCUGUAAUCCCAGCCCUUUGGGAGGCCGAGGCUGGAGGAUCACUUGAGCCCAGGAGUUCAAGAACAGCCUAGG
Rhinopithecus roxellana (golden snub-nosed monkey) is the source of this 2044-nucleotide RNA transcript. It is a transcript of the gene named translation initiation factor IF-2-like, with no coding region annotated. The transcript has 3 exons. The record is from RefSeq and is a predicted model, not a curated record. Lineage: Eukaryota; Metazoa; Chordata; Mammalia; Primates; Cercopithecidae.